GGUUUGUGAUAGACUAUUUACACUCCAAUGUCUAUUAAUAGUUAAAAAGCACAGACUGCUAUGAUUUGAAAAACGUUCUAUGCUUUUUCUCCCAGUGAUGGAGAAAAACAAUAACACUAAAUCAUAAAUUUACAAGAAUGGAUAUUAUUUAUAAGAUCUUAGAUUCAUAACUAAGUGCUUAGUUUGUGCAUCUCUUAUUUGGGAACUGCUUGUGGUUGGUAAAGAGGAGAUCCCCAUUAAAUAUGCAGCUAAAUUAAAGUAUUCUUAGACCAUUCAUGUUUUCAAAGAAACAGACAAUAUAAAAGAACCAGGAAAUGGCUCAGUACUGUAAAGAUCAUUAAUGGCAAUCUACA
Molecule: non-coding RNA, 353 nt
Organism: Pelobates cultripes (western spadefoot toad)
Lineage: Eukaryota; Metazoa; Chordata; Amphibia; Anura; Pelobatidae
Source: the annotation of a GenBank genome assembly